RNAcentral lists this transfer RNA (49 nucleotides) under Streptomyces sp. Root1295. RNAcentral's name for it is "tRNA-Met". RNAcentral also lists the same sequence under 1 other name. Lineage: Bacteria; Bacillati; Actinomycetota; Actinomycetes; Kitasatosporales; Streptomycetaceae. The record is from RNAcentral.
CGCGGGGUGGAGCAGCUCGGUAGCUCGCUGGGCUCAUAACCCAGAGGUC